GCUGCAGUUUGAACUACAAUACGUAAACAAUAUGUAAACAGUUAUCAUUUAAUAAGGAAAUAAUCCCUAUUUGAGGAAAGAGACAGUUGUAAAACGCUGGCUUAACAUAAUGGGCAAGCGCAAGAGAAACCUGGACAUGGGAGGUGUGUGUUAUUCCCAGACGAUGUGAAAGACUUUCAGAAAGGUGGGAAAAGCAUCUGCCAGAACGUCCACACCUGCCACAAAGUCCUGGGGAAAAUGUGGCGACAGUUUCCUGGACACUCCCGUCAUCCAGGUGCCUUAAACUAGACGGACGUAAUGCUGUCUGUCUGUUACACAGAUGCUCUGAACAUCAUCUGUUUGUGUUUCAGAAGCUGCAAACAUCAGAGAAGAACACGUAAAGUGGCUCUGACGUCUGUUACUGGGACAGAUGACCUGCCCACUAUUGAUUCAGACAGUGAGAGGAAGAGAAUUCAGCUUCAAAAGAACACACUGACUUUCUAAAUCCUGUUGCCUCACCAACCGAGAUUUCAAACUACUCCUCUUAUGAUGAUAAUGAUGAAGAUCCAGAAGAAAACAGAGCAGACUCUUCCUUUCUAGACGCAGCUGAGACCAGCAGGCAGUCGGUCAGCGAGUGGGUCUGAUCUGCUCAGGCGAUUCUUCAGACACCUCAGA
Molecule: long non-coding RNA, 654 nt
Filed under: Sinocyclocheilus anshuiensis
Lineage: Eukaryota; Metazoa; Chordata; Actinopteri; Cypriniformes; Cyprinidae
Description: lncRNA (ENSSANG00000019104.1)
Source: RNAcentral